GCCCAGAGUGGAUCCCUGCCAGUUCCUGGCGUCAGACCCUCCCUGGAGCCUCAUAGCUGGCCAGGUCACCCUCUUUUGGACAGGAAGCCCCUCUUGGCCUGCCCCCUCAUUCUCCAGCCUCUCCUUUCCUCCCUCCCCUCUCCUCCUCCUGUCUACCCACCUCCCCACUUCCUCUCAGCCUCACACAAAGGCACAGGCCUUUCUCUCCCCCUCACAAUCGGCCAUAUGGCUCUAUUAUUCUAAUAUUCUGGAGACUUAUGACAACAAUGCUGAGGAACCGAACUGUCGGGUGCUCUGAGGUGCCAGCCUUGCCUUGAAGACACAUCUGGGCUGAAAGCCACUCUCCGGAAGGCAGCCGUUUGGAGGCAGGAAUUCUGAAUCUCCACUUUUACAGAUGAGAACCAGAAAAGCGAAGGGACUACCAAGAUUACACAGCUGUUAGCGGCAGAACUGAGAUUCCACCUGGAUCUUCUGGCCACGAUGCCAACUCUUUGCCCAUCAAACCAGAGUGUCCCCAGGAUUCCCGAGGGCAGGGAGCUGGACACAGCUACUGUGGACCCAGGGAAGCGCUGACCAUCAGGAUUUGGCAGUGAGAGCCUCCGUCCAUCUCCCACCCUCCGGACUUCGAUGUUGGGGCCAGCAGACAGGAGCCAUCAGACACGUUCUUUUCGGGCUGCCUCUUCCUCCGUCCAGCUCAGGAAAUGAGCUCUGAAAGACAAGCGCUGAGUGGGGUCCAGACAACAUAUCCAUGCUCAGGGCAGGAAGUAGGAAGGCGGGCAGGGAGGUCCCAGGCAUAUCUGUCCCCUUCUCUCAGAAAAACAAUGCUUUUAUACAAAUCUCCCCAGCAGACUUCUGCUUGUUCUCUUUGGAAAGAACCAGAACAUGUGGCCAUUCCUAGCUGCAAGAAAGUCUGGGAAAAAGGGAGCAAGAUUAUCAUGAUUGGCUUAGACCAGGGUCAGCAACCUUCCGUGAAGGCCUAGAUGGUAAAGACUUGAGGCUUGGUGGCCGUAGACUCUGUCACAACUACUCAACUCUGCCUUUGAAGCACGAAAGCAGCCCCAGACAAUACACAACAAAUGGGUGUGGCUGUGUUCCCAUUAAACUUUAUGGACACA
Molecule: long non-coding RNA, 1115 nt
Filed under: Equus caballus (horse)
Lineage: Eukaryota; Metazoa; Chordata; Mammalia; Perissodactyla; Equidae
Description: lncRNA (ENSECAG00000040426.2)
Source: RNAcentral